GUACUCUCACACUUCCAAUCUUUGGAUUAGGAGUGGUGGACUUGGGUGUUGCUGCUGCUUCACUGCGGCUCACCUCAAAUGGAUUAGUGCAACUCUUGGUUGGACAUAGUACGGCGUGAUAAGUGUCUUCGCUGGUGCCUCGUAACAGAGGGUGGCCGAUCGGGAGCUCUGUGCUUCAAACCGUCUUCAGACAAUUACUGACA
RNAcentral lists this unclassified non-coding RNA (203 nucleotides) under uncultured Sebacina. Its description in RNAcentral is "sequence contains ITS2". The record is from RNAcentral. Lineage: Eukaryota; Fungi; Basidiomycota; Agaricomycetes; Sebacinales; Sebacinaceae.